This 72-nucleotide transfer RNA is filed under the name Cyanophora paradoxa. RNAcentral's name for it is "tRNA-Met". It matches the Rfam family "tRNA". Rfam says of the family: Transfer RNA (tRNA) molecules are approximately 80 nucleotides in length. The record is from RNAcentral. Lineage: Eukaryota; Glaucocystophyceae; Cyanophorales; Cyanophoraceae.
AGCAGAGUCGAGUAGUGGUUUGCUCAUUGGUCUCAUAAUCCAAGUACGGUUGUUCGAUUCAACCCUCUGCUA